Molecule: long non-coding RNA, 15201 nt
Filed under: Malus domestica (apple)
Lineage: Eukaryota; Viridiplantae; Streptophyta; Magnoliopsida; Rosales; Rosaceae
Description: long non-coding RNA (MDOM_LNC019823)
Source: RNAcentral
UGAAUCGAUGUAUGGAUGAUUCUUAUACAUGAAAUGGCAAAGAUACUAAUUAGGACUAUCUCAAUAAACAAUAUAAGUCCUGAAUAGUGAAUCCAUGGACAAUGGAACGAUUGAAGAAGUAAUCUAAUGAUGUUAGACUACAGAGACCUUCUUCACAUAACCAUUAUGUCCAAAAGGUUCCUGGUCGUUGGAUUGUCGGAGGGAUACUAACAAUGCUUAGACCGGUACAUACUGUGUCCGCUUCAAUUGGAAGGAUGGAAAGUCUCAACCCAUUCGUGUUGUGACACUAAGACAAGUAUGUAGGUGCUCAUUAAGGGAAUGAGUUCACUGAACACAAUCGAACGGGAGUACUUGCAUGGAGGUCUACUCACAUGUCAAGCAAGUAACUCUAAUGGUUGGAAAGAUGUAAAUAAUCCUUAGACCUGAGGCAUCGUCGUUGUCUUGUGGUUAAGUACUUAAUCUUUGAUUAUGUCAAAGUCUCCCCAUUCGAGGGUGUCCACGGCAUAAUUGGGGUUAAGCCACUUAGUCAUGAAGGCAAGUGUAUGCGCAACAAGGAAUCUCUAAUCCUCGAUAAGAGAGGAAGAAUACUCUAAGAUAUGAUUCGGGAAUCUUCGGCCGAAGUAUCGAGCGUAAUAAAGGAAAGCGUUCCUAUACGACUCAAUUGAAUCAUAUAAGAAGGAAUAAUCACAUUAGGGGUUUGACAUAAUAUAUCCAUACCCUAAUGAUGUGAUUGAGAGUAUUGUUAUUAGAGAAGGAUUGAAUUACAUUGUAAUUCCAACUGAAUAGGUUCUUCCGAAUAAACUUCUACAUUAGCUUGGGUAGCUAUGACAUAUGGUUAGAUGUCACUCAUAGCUUGUGAGUUCUUCUUCUAGAUGAUUAAAUGUAGUCGUCAAAGAAGAAAGGUGAAUUAAAAUGAAGUUUUAAUUCACUAAGUGAUUGAAUUAAAUAUAAGCAAUUGGAUUAAUGCCAAUCACCUCACUGCCUUGCUAAUUAGAACCUAAAAGAUUGUUCACCAAUACACUAUUGUAGUGAGUAACUAAUGGAUGAUGGAAAACAAUUAAUUGGAUUAAUUAAUGUGUUGUGAUUAAUUUAGAAAAGUCUAAAGAAAUCAUAAAAGCGAUAAAGAUCGUUUUGGGCUUAAAGAAACGUUCGGGUUUAAUUGGGCCCAUUGGGCCUAAACCCAUUGGGCUUUUAUUCAAGCAUUGGAUGACUUGAAAUAAAAAAAGCCCAAAGCCCAAAAACAACACAAAGGGGCCGGCCACUUUAGGUAAGGAAAAGGUGAGAUAUUUAGUCAAGUUGUUGACUAGGUUUCUUUUGUCUAUAUAAGGAACUUUAUAGAGAUAAAGUUCAUUAGGGUUUUUUUUGUGGUUUUGAACAACAAAAGAGGCAAAAGAAAAUAGCUCUCUUGAAACCACAAAAAGGCCGGCCACCAAAGGGGGUUUUUUACUAACAUCUCUUCACCCUUUUGGUUAUUCCUUCAUCCUUCUCACUACACUAGUGGGUGAGGAUCUUUAGAGGUUUCCUACUUUGGGAACUUGAAGAGAACCUAGGAGCACUCAUUAUAACAAAGUGGAGGAGGCAAGGAGGGAAGCUAGGCUCAAGGAUUUCAAGGAGCAAAGGGCUUGGAGGUGGUCCAUCCUUGGUCUCAAGUCUAGAUCAAGAGGUAUAAGACUAAACCUUCACUUUUGUUCUUGAUUCUAAAAUUUGUUUUGAUGCAUUAUAUAUAAACCUAUGAACCUUGAAGGGGAUUUGGAUGACUAUAGCUUUGAUAAUAUGUUAUAAAUGCUUCCGCUGCUUUCGUAUAUUAAAUUUUGAUUUGUAUAUGCAUGAUAGUCAUUAUGAAAUCCCAUGCUAGAAUCUCAUAAUUUCCCUUCAAGUGGUAUCAGAGCCAAUGGUUUAUGUAUAAUGUGUCCUUUUGGAUUUUAUGCAUAUGGGUAUUAAUGUUAUGUAUGACAUAUUAUUGUUUCAUUCAAAGUAUGUUUAUCUUUUGUUUUUCAAUAGUUGAAAAAUGUUAGUCAAAAGUUGAGAAAGAUAUGUUUGCAAAAGUGUUUUGUAUGCAUGAAUGAAAAAUGAGUUUAGAACUAGUAUGACAUAUUAUUUCUUCAUUUAAAAGUAUGUUUGUCUUUUGUUUUUCAAUGGUUGAAAAAUGUAAAUCAAGAGUUGAAAAAGAUAUGGAUGUAAAAGUUGUUUUGUAUGCAUGAAUGAAGAAUAAGUCAUGAACAAAAUUUGGGGUUUUGUUCAAAAGGGUAGGCACGGUUUUGGGGGGUGGUUUUUGGGUUGUGUUUGUGUUUUAUUGUAAACCACUCACACAUCCUAUUAAAGCUUAAAAGAAGUGUUCUUGUCACUUUUGUUUUUGGGUUUGAAAAAACACCUAGAAUACACAAAUCUUGGAAAAGUGUUCAUGGUUUUGUUCUUGGUGUUCAUAGUUUGGUUUUGGGUGAAAAUGGUUUUAUUUGGUUUUCAUGUAUGGUCUUAUGGUUUUGGAUGAUGUUCUUACCAUCCAUAACCAUAUUAAAACUUAUUAAAACCCUAGACUUGUCUAGGAGAUUUCCAUCAAUUUUUCAUUAAAGCCAUUUAAUGCCAAAACCAAGUGACAAGCAAAAUUGUGAUUUUUUCUACUUUGCAUUAAAUUGUUGCAUGUGGGUGAGACUUCCCACCCUCCCAUUGAAUGGCCGGCCUCCCUAGUGGAUUUAUCCACUUGUGGGGCUAUUUUGUAAUCUUUGAAAAGUUGAUAUUUAUUUUGAAAUAUUUACGGUUUUACCCCUAACUUUUUCAUAUUUACAUUUAGGCCCCUACUAACUAGAAAGUUAAAAUAUUUGAUUUUAAUUUUGUUAGUUGUUUAAACUCAUAAUACUAUUAUGCCCAUAUGCACUAAAUCUAAAUGUUUAUGUUGCAUUCCAUCAUGAUUAUUUAAAUGUGUUUAAGUAGUUAUGAAAUGGAUGACUUUGGACUUAUGCCUUAAACGAUAAUUGAGCUAUAUGAUAAGGCGCUAAAAUCAAAUUGUUUGAACCUUGGGAAUGUGUUUUAAUUACUGUUUAAUUGGACCUUGUCACGUUUGACGUUAAUCUUUCUCUCCCUUUUUUUAGUAUAUGUAAUUUAUAGGAAUUUGUACAAAUCGGUUUGUAAUUCUUAUUACUUCUUAAUCUCUAUUCGUUAGUGGAUUCCCUCUAGUGCUAGACUAGAGUUUCUUUAACUAUUGGUAAGGAGACAUAACUAAAAGAGGGUUUUGACAUGAGAUUAAAAAUUAAAAGGGUCCAAUGCCCAAAUUAGCAAUGAAUGAUUGUCUUUCAUUUCUAAUGGCUCAAUGAAAAUGGUUUUAAUUGGAUUGAUAAGCACGUAAUUAAAUUGACACAACCUCCCCGAGUUUAUAUUCAACAAUGAUGGCUCGUUGUUGCAAUACCCUAAUAAGUCCAUAGUCAUCCAAGAGCCUAAGAUAACUAUAAAGUCCAAUUUCAAAGGAAUGCAAAAACCUUAGUAGUAGUAGUUACUUCCAAUAUUUGAAAAAUUCGUUUUUGAUAUUGAUUUGUUUUCUUCAAAACAAAUAGUGGGAGUAUCAUACGCUACUAAGACUAUAAUGAAUACAAUUAGUAGUUAUAUAUAUCUCCAAUAUUUUGAAAAAUGUUUUGAUAUUGAUUUGUUUUAUGAAAACGAAUAGUGGGGAUAUUAUAUGCUACUAAUUUCAUUAACUUUGGACUAGUAGUUAUAAUAGGACAUUAUUUAUUUGAUUGUGAUUAAAUAAAUAAAAUUGAUGAGACCUUAAAAUCCCUCAACCAAACAAAUAUUAAGUUGAAAGCGUAAGAGUGCUUUAGAACACUUUUUCGUGGCCUUCCACCGUGGUAGGCUCCAAGCGUUUAUGACUUGUACACCGCCUUCACCCUAUCAUGGGGAAGUGACAAAGUGCAUGCUUAUAUUCAGGAGGAGUUUAUUUAAAACAUUUGAUGAGGUUAAGGUAGGCAACGAGUAUGGCCAACAUCGUAUCAUCGUGAGGUCAUGCUUGAACCCCUAGCUAAACCGGCAUGGUGGGAAAGAACUUAACUAAGAAACAUAAUGCCAACAUCGUAUCAUCGUGAGGUAUUAUUUUCUAGAGGCCAAAAAGAUGGGUAAUCACAAGAGGUUGUUUGUGAAUGGGUAAUUGUACCCUCUCAUUAUUAUUGUUUGCCUAGCCAAACAUCGUAUCAUCGUGAGGUGGGCUUGGUAAUAGUGAGCCUCCCAUAACCCGCUAGGAGCUUUCUUUGAAAUCUCCCGGAUUCCAUUAUGGGGGAUAUGGAAUUUGCCAAAAAUGGUGGGUGGUGUCAUUCGGUUUAAAGACCCGAAUCGUUUGACUUAAACAACAAUCAAUCUAAUUAUUUUAUUUGUUUAUGUAUAUAGAUAUGGUUGGAAGCACACUCGCGAAAAUACUCGACAAACAUUGCCUAGAGGGGCAAAAUUUCCCAUCAUGGUAUCGUAAUGUCAAGAUUCUCCUAACCUUGGAGAAGAUUGUUUACGUACUAGACAAAGCUCCACCUCACAUACCUCUUGGCCCUGACGCCACUGAGGAUGAACGUGCUAAGUAUGACAAGCACGUUGAGGAUGAUACACAAGCCAAGUGCUAUCUGUUGGCUUCCAUGAAUGAGGAGCUACAGAGACAGCACGAGGGCAUGGACAGUGCAUCUUCCAUAAUACUCCAUCUUACGGAGUUAUAUGGUGAAGGGAACGCGCAACCGUCGCUUUAGCACUGUCUGUGAACUUGUGAAGACCAAAAAUGGUCAAGGGGGCUCCAGUGCAUCAACAUGUACUGAAGAUGAUAGGAUUCAUUGAACAAUUGGAGAACCUUGGUACUCCACUUGACGGGGAAUUGGCCCAGGACUUCAUAUUGGCUUCUCUUUCUGAUUCAUUCUCGCAGUUCGUAAUGAACUACAACAUGAAUAAGAUGGAUAGUACUCUCUCCGAGUUACUAAAUAUGUUAGUAACUGCCGAGAAGACUAUGAAGAAAGAGAACGUUGUAGGGACUGCUGCAGUAGCCUACAAUAAGCCAUCCAUCUUCCAAGGCCAAGCCGCAAGGCAAAAGGCAAAGGGAAGGAGAAGAAGUCCCCCACUCCUAAGCCGAAAGGAGGAGUGAGGAAAAAGAAGGCAAAGGAGCCCAAAGGGACUUGCCACCACUGUGGAAAGGAGGGGGCAUUGGAGGAGGAAUUGCAGGUUAUACCUUGCAAGUCUUAAGGACAAGCCACAAGGUAUGGUUUAUGUUCUUAUCUUCAAUUCUAAAUGUUAGAUCUUCUAAAUAUAUAUAUUUGAUAUAAAGAGCUAAUCACUUGUAUAAUUGUAUAUAGGUGGAGAAGCCAAGUAGAAGAGGAACAAGCAAGGAAAAGUGUGGAGAAGAGUUCGGCCACCAUGUUUUUUGCUUACUACUUAGGAAGUUUGUUAGGCAUUUAAAGAUUGUCUUUAAACUUUCUUAUUUUGUUAAGAACUAAUUAUAUGGCUUCAUUUGAUGGAAGGCCACUAUUAGUGCCUAAAUGUAUAAAGGCAUUUAUAUUAGUCUCUAAAUGUAUAGAGCUAAUACCUUUUGUAUUAAACAUUAUGAAUGUUUGAACUAUCAUAUUAAUGUAAUGUGAUGUAUGCCCUUUUAAUAAAUACUAUUUCCUUAAAGUAGUGUUAUGAAUUGAAAAUUGUCUUGUUGUAUCCUAGAUGAGAUACAAGAGUUAUAUCACUUAAUUGUAAUGUGAUAAACCAAACUUUAGAUUUAUCAAUUAUGGAUAGAUCUCACAUGUAGGACAUAAAAGGAUACAAUGAAUCUUUAGAUUUGGUUCCAUUUGUCUACUUAUGAGUUCUAUAUGAAUUGACAAAAGUCUAGAGAUUCCUUUCUUGAAGAAAAGGAAGAUCACAUUAUAAUGAUAUAAAUAAUAAGAAAAAUUGUUUCUUAUAUGGUUAUCACAUGAAACACAAUGAUCAAGAUCACUUUUUGAUUCAAUUAGUAGUUUUGAACAAUUAAUUGGGCAUUCUUAAAAUUGUUUUAAAAUGUCAAUUGUGUUAGUGACUAAACCAAGAAAGAAGUGUUCUAAAUCUAUAAAAGGUUUAAAGACUUUAGUCACUUAAAUAACAAGACAUUAAACUUAGUGAAGAUUGAAAACAAAUAAGCUUGAAAUGUUUCAAAAGCUACUACACAAUGUCUUCUACCAAUAUAAUCCACUUUUAUACAUUUUGAAUGUAUGAAAUAAUUUCUCAUUAAAGUCAUGAGAAAUAGUUGGGAGGUAUGAAAAUGGAUAUAAACUUGAAUGUGAUUGGUUUAUAGUUGUCUAAAGAAUAAUAGUACUUGACUAUUAUUAAGAGUUUUGUAAUUUUAAGUGUUAAAAGGACUCAAGCUCUUUAAAAUGUUAAAAUUCUAUGUUGUGUAACAUUUUAAAGAAUAGUCUUUGAAUGUUGGUUUCGUCAACCUAGCAUAAAAUGUUUAUAUGUUGGGAGUUGUCAUCAUUCUCUUUUAUGAGAACAUGCUAAAUAACAAAGCAUAUGGACAAUUUGAUGAAACAAAAGGGAAUAAGUUUCAAAAAUGAGUCACAACAUAUGGUUUAACAACAAGACAAUCCAAAUUCAACAUUUCAUGUAACGAUAUUGCUCUAUGUAGUUUUUGAUAGAGAAUUAUAUCAACCACCUAGAAGGAAUGGUUGAGAAUCUAUAUCCUUAGUAAGGAGCCAAGCUUCACUAAAGACUNAUGAGAAGAAGAAACAGAAAACAGAAAAGAAAAAGAGACUGGGCAGAAAUGCCCAAUCGGAGAAGAAGAAGGUGAGAGCAAACCAGAAGAAGGGAGAGGAAGAAGCUGACCAAUCAGGGGAAGGAAAGGAGGGAAAGGAGGAGAGUGGUGCGCGGGGGAACAGGAAGAAUGGGUCACCCUUGACCCGCGCGACCCAAGCUUCCAAAUCGGCGGUUUUCGCCAUUUCCGUCCAAAUUUCCGACGAAAUUGAGUCAAGGUACCACUACUAAUCAUCUCUAGCUUCCCUCUUUACGUUUCACCCCAAGAAUCAUUGAAUUUCGUUGUGAUUUCGCGAAGAAACCCCUACGGGUGCCGCGACCCUUUUGUUUAAUUCUCCAAAUUUUGAAAUGUUUUCUUUCAAUUACUAACACCUUUAGCAUUCUUUAGGACCUAGAACAAAGCCCAAGAGGUAAUUGAGGCGUUGGAACAAGUUUGAAGGUCGAAAUGGAAACACCCAAAUUCUAGGGUUCUCACGGUUUGGUGAAAUUGAAGCACUUCCAGGCCAAAUUGGCCUUGGCCUCAGGUAUGAAAGUUGUUCUACUCAUUGAGAUCUUCAAAUCUGCAAAUUUUGGUAAUUUUUGGAAAUAGUUGAAUUUUCCGGCGAGCCGGGGGCGGCCAACCGCCACCCGCGGCGGCCCGCGCGGCGGCGCGUGGCCAAUGGCCCGCCAAUGUCAUUAUUAGCUUGUUGAUUAAGGUUCUAGGUUCUGUUUUUUAUAAUUGUUGGACGUAAAUUGAAUAAUUGAACCUAAGUUGGUUACGAUUCGUGGUUAGGUGAAAAUGUGAAUUGACGAUCCGACCGUUGGAUCGUCAAUCAAACUUUGAUACGUUGUAAUACGUAAUAUUUGAGGAUUAUAGGAACUUACGGAUUGGGAAUCCGAUUUACGGAUCUUCUGGAAUUGAAGUUGUAAGUUCAUAAAUAGAAUGUUAACCGUCACUUAGUUUUGGAAAUUGUCGGAGAUCCGACCGUUGGAUGGUAAUGAAAUUUUAGGAAGUUGUCCUAGAGGUAUAUUGUGGACCUCUGGAAGUUUCGGAUUUGAAAUCUGAAUUGCAGAUCAUCCGGAUCGAACUACGUAGUGACGUGUCUUACAUAAGUUAUGUAUUCUAUCGGCAGAAUUUUGAGGUUGGAUUUGAUUGUUGUUCUAGGCGCUAAUCGUCAUGACGCCUUGAUGUACGGUGCUAGGGAGUUGUGGGCGAACUCCAGGUGAGUGGGCAGUUUUGUUUUCGUAUUACCUAUAUACUAUUGAUUUUUCCCAGAAAAUGAAUUUAUAUGAAAAUAUGCUUUAAAAUGCAUGCAUAGAAUUAUUUGAAAAUGUGAAUUGUUAUAUGAAUUACAUGAUUGAGAUAUGAUGCAUACAUGUUGCAUGGUGCUGUGGAGGCACAGGUAAGUCAGGUGAGUUCAUUAUUCAUUUAAUUGAAUUGAUUGAUAUCGAUAUAAUUUGAGCUCAUAACCUGCACCCUAGGUGUUAGUGCUUAUAUUAUUCACCACACCGCACGCUCGCCUUGGAUCCAAGUAGGUGGAUGUCGUACAGACCAUGUGGGGUUCCGACAUGCUAGUCGUUAUAGAUCACUAGGCGUGAUUCCGACUAGUGGGUGAUCUUAGUUAUGCGCGCUGAUGAUAUGAUGAGAGAAGCACUAGAGCGUAUUUUUACACCUUUCAUCGUAUAGACUACCUUACGUAGUUCCGAGUGAUGUGCAGAGUAGGGCCGUAUAGGUCACUGUGGUGACUCCGGCUUAGUGAGAUAUUGAGCUAUUGAAUUAAUCGUAUAGGACCAACUGCAGGGUCUCCGAUUGAUUCCUUAUUUCACCUGAUUUAUAUUUUGAUUUAUGGCAUGGCAUGUUUUUCUUGAAAAGCGUUAAAGAUUUGAGAUUUGAAUUUUGAGAUUAUAUAUGGUUUUAUAUAUACUAUUUUCUGGGAAAGUAUACAGGUUUUACGGUGAGGGGAUAGAAAUAUUUUAAAUGAAAAAUUUUCGAAAAACUUUGUUUUACUGACCCACUCAAUUUUGUUUUGCGCCCCUCCAGGUUCAGGUUAGCAGAACUUUGGUGGCCACGAGGAAUCCAACGGUGUUCUGACAGAAUUCACAAAAGUAGGACUCACCCUCGGGUGUGUUAUCUUAGUAAUUGGAAAUUUUUUUUAAAGCUUCCGAACUGUGUAAAUGGUUACGUCACUCUCACGUGACGGCCAGCACGCCCUCUUUCGGGACGGGGUGUGUCAGUUGGUAUCAGAGCCUAGGUUGCAAUUCUGGACAUCUGGAGAAUUUCCCAGUGUCUUCUGUCAGAACUAUACAGCCUCGUAGCGAGCCACGUAGUUCGGAUAAGCCUAAUUUCCCUGAUAUAGUAGUUUGGGGGGAAACUAUUGCCAUUGUGAUUCAGUCUAUUAUCUAAAGGAACCUUUGAGACUGGUUAUAAGUUAAAUUUGAAUACAGACUUGCCUUGUUUCCAUUCGGAUGUUGUUGCUAAUCCGGUAGAGAUGUUAUGUCGUUUUUGGCUGGAUAAUAAGAAGAAGUGGCGUUCUUUGGCGACCACUAUCCAUUCUACUUUUUACCAAGAGUUUACGAGAUGUUAUUGGGUUUUGAAGACUUUGAGAAUAUGAUCAGCGAGAGUAAAAAGGAAUAAGAAAGGAAUGAGAAUCAGAAUAAGACGAUAAAGUUAAAGAUUCGUCAUAUCAAAGACCUCGGAGGACUCAGAGCUUCAAAAGAAGUGAAGUUAGAACUAAUUCUUCCAGCUGAGGUUUUAGUGCCACUGGUUCGAGGCGAAGUGAUAAAUUACGGGUGAUCCCAGAUCUUAAAGACAAGGUGACUCGAGUAAGGGAAAUGUACCUUUGUGCCAUAGGUAUAAUAUUAGACACUUUGGAUAGUGUGGGAAUCAGUGAAUGUGUGCAUGUGGACGGAUGGGACAUAGAGGUAUGAAUUGUCCCUGGAAUCAGUUGUUACCCAACAGUCUUCCUUAACAUAUCACUUGGAAAAAUUGAUGAGUAAGUCGUACAGGUCACUAUAUGUGACUCCGACUUAUGUGCUAGCAUGGAUGGUCGAGUUGUAGACUCAGUCGUACAAGUCAUUCUAGCUGACUCCGGCUGAUAUAUUUCUUAUUAUGGUCGAUGUUGCCAAAGAAAGUAAUGUUGGAGCACGAUCGAGGCGUAUUUAUGUAUUUCUAAGGAAGAACAAGAUGAUAAUAUUACACCCCUCAGGAAUUGUUACUUACUUAUCGAGACAACAGUGAGUUAUUUGUAUUGCGAGCUGCAGACCGUAAUAUUUAUAACUUAUUUGUUGGAUUCGUUAAGUAAGUAAACAAGUAAGGCACUUUAUGUUGAUUUGGUUUAUUAAGGGUGUCCGGUGAUGGUGAAAAAUGUCAUGUCGGUGAAUUUUAUUCCGUUGGAUAUUGUGGAUUUUGAGGUGAUUUUUGGCACAAAGUGGGUGCAGAAUAAAUGUGCCAAGCUAGAUUGCUAUGGGGAAUCAGUUAAUUUUUGUCGACCUGGAUGACCAGAGGUUACUUUUGGGGGUAAGUAAAGUGGAGUGAGUUAUGCCAUUAUUCCUGUUGAGAGAGCAAAGAAGAUUGUUAUCAAAAGGCUGCCAAGAUAUUGAGUUCAUAUGGUGCUAAAUGAUGUUGAUCCUAAUAGUAUGGAAGAUGUAAAGAUGGUUAGACAUUUUCUUGGUGUAUUCCCAGAUGACUUACCUAGAUUGCCGCCAGGCAGAGAUGUGGGUUUUAUUAUUGAAUUGUUUUUAGGUACAAAUCCUAUGUUAGAGAUUGGUUCAGGUUGAGUUAAAAGUUCCAUUCAACUUAUUAUAUCACAUUGGAAAAGCUCCGGUUUAUUUGUGAGAAAGAAAAUGGACAUUAAGGCUAGGCAUUGAUAUUAGGUAAUUGAAUCGGGUAACGAUUGAGAGCUGUUAUCCAUUGUUAUGUAUUGAUGAUUAUUUGAUCAGCUCUGAGGCGCCUGGGUACUUUCUGAGAUUGACUAGAGGUCUGAAUGAUAUUAGUUGAAGAUUAACAGUGAGGAUGUUCAUAAGACUGAAUCCAGGACUCGUUAUGGUCAUUUCAAGUUGGGAUGCCAUACGGAGUGACGAAUGCACCUGCUACUUUUAUGAGUUUGUUGAAGGAAGUAUUCCAAUGAUAUCUGGACCGGGUUGUUAUUGUUUGCCAUUGACGAGAUUGAUAAGAUUAGAGCAGUGCAUGCUAGAUAUUUAAAGUUGGUGUUGCAAAGAUUGAGGGAACGUUGAUGUAUGCUAAGUUUAACAAAUGCUAAUGUUGGAUAAAUUAAUUAUAUCUACUUAAGGUAUUCAAGUGGAUUCUUAAAAGAGUAGCAACGAUUAAGAAUUUGGAACAAUUGCGAACCGUGACUGAGGUUCAGAGUUUUCUCGGAUUAGCAGGAUAUCAUCGAUAGUUCGUCCAAGAUUUUAAUCACUGCUUGGCUUUGGCGAGAUUGAUGAGAAAAGAGGUUAGGUUUGAGUGGAUGAAAUUGUGAGCAAGGUUUCAGCGGCUGAAGUAUUAUCUCACUCACACGCCUGUUUUAACGCUUCCAGAUUUUAAUGGUAAUUAUGUGGUCUAUAGUGAUACUUUUUUUUAAUGUUCUUGGAUGCGUGUUGAUGCAACAUGGUAGGAUGAUUGUCUAUGCUUCAUGGCCAUUGGGAUCUCAUAAGAUGAAUUACCCUAAUUAUAAUUUGGAAUUGGCGGCUAUCAUUCUUACUUUGAAGUUAUGGAGACAUUAUAUUAUUGGUGAGAAAUGCAAGAUUUUAAUGAAUCAUAAGAGUCUCCAAUAUAUGUGUACGCGGAGAGAUAUUAAUCUUAGGCAACAAAGGUGGAUUGAGUUGCUUAGUGAUUAUGAUCGUGUGACGAGGGUGGUCAAGCUAAUGUUGUGGCUGAUGCAUUUAAUAGGAAGACCCCAGUGAGAAUUAAUGCUUGGUACGCUUGCUAUGUUCAUCUUCUUGUGGAUUUGAAAUCUACUGGAGUAAAGUUGAGUAUCAAAAAUCGAGAAGAAGGCUUACUUGCUAAUUUCCAAGUUGGACCCAUUUGGUAGAUCGUACUCGAUACUCAAGCGUUUGACGAAGAAAUUCAAGAAUUUAUUUAAAGCAAGGAAUAUCGGGAAAAAGAAAGACCUUAGAGUUAGAGAAUCAGAUGGCAAGCUUGUACAAGGGAACAAAGUGUUUAUGCCUAAUGGUGUGGAAUUAAAGAAAGCAAUUUUGACGAUGUACAUUAUUCCACUUCUACAAUGCAUCCCAAAAGUACUAAGAUUUAUCAUACCAUUCGUUCAUGUACUAUUGACGGGUAUGAAAAGAGAAAUGGCGAAGUAUGUUAGUAGGCGUAUUAUCAGUCAUCAGGUUAACGCAGAAAGAAAUAAGUCUUUUGGAAUAAUGUGGUCAUUUCCCAUUCCACGGCGGAAAUGGGAGAAUAUUACUAUGGAUUUCGUGGACAAGCUUCCUCGUAUACAAAAUAGUUAGGUUGGAAUUUGAAUAAUAAUUGAUCGACUGGUGACGUCAGCGUAUGUUACCUCAGUAUGAGAACACCAACCUUUCCAGACAAGCGCAACAUUUAUUUGUUUGUUUUAUGGAAAAAGAGAUUUGGGAUCUGUUAAACUUCUUGGGUAUGUUGGUCCCUUCAGUUUGUUCCCUUGAGUAACGCCAUAAGGCCGUGUAAAGCUAUGUCUUGUGUUUCGAAAUUUUUAGAAUUGGGGACGGAUAGUAUUCAAGGCCCUGAGUUAGUGGAUGAGACUAUUCGGAAUAUUCAAGUAAUUAAGUCUAACCUGGAAGUGGGCCAGGAUCGGCUGAAGAGCUUAGCAGACAAACAUGCCACUGACCGGAUGUAUAUGUAGGUGAUCGAAUGAUUUUGAAAUUAUCACCUUGGAAAAGUAUGAUUCGUUUUAAAAAGAAAAACAAGUAAGUCCUAGAUACGUCAGACCAUCUAUGAUCAUCGAACGAGUCAGUGAAGUUACGUACAGGCUGAGUUGCCUCCAGAGCCGAUGAAAGGGCAUGAUAUGUUUUAUGUUUCGAUACUUCGACAUUAAACCUCAUAUCCUUCACGAGUGAUACCUUCGCAACCUUUGGAAGUCAAUAUGGAUUUGACGUAUGAUGAGGAGCCAGUGCCUAUCUUGUAUUAGAAAGAUGAUGUACUGAGAAAUAAGACUAUGAGUUUGGUGAAAGUUUAUGGAGGAAUCUUUCAGUGGAAGAAGCUACUUAGAAAUCAAAGAAUCGAAUGAGAGAGAUGUGUUUCGGGCUGUUUCAUGGAUAUUGAUGGAUUGUAAAGAUUGUGUAAAUUUCGAGGACGAAAUUUCUGUAAGGUGGGUAGAUUGUGACAGCCCGUCCCUAAUUUUAAGAAUUUUUAAAGUUUUAAUAAAGGAUUUUACAAAAAUGCCCUUCGAGACACGCACAUCAUUCGAGGUUAAUCGUUGUGUCGUGCCAUCUAAGAUUUGUUUUCUUGACAUAUCCUCGUAGUACUCGUCGUUACGGACGUGUGGGCGCAGACGGUUCGUGAUUUGGAGUUAUAUCGAAGAAGUUAUUAACGUUUGAAAUUUGGAAUUUUAAGGAAUUAUAAUUUUAGUAAAAUAUAGAAAUUCUUUUAUGAAAUUGGACGGCCCAGAUUUAUUGAUGAAUGAAAUGGAUGGCUGGGAUGAGAGAAAGGUUUUUGGUGUGUGUAUGUGUAUGAGAAGAAGAAACAGAAAACAGAAAAGAAGAAGAGACUGGGCAGAAAUGCCCAAUCGAGAAGAAGAAGGUGAGAGCAAACCAGAAGAAGGGAGAGGAAGAAGCUGACCAAUCAGGGGAAGGAAAGGAGGGAAAGGAGGGAGAGUGGUGCGCGGGGGAACAGGAAGAAUGGGUCACCCUUGACCCGCGCGACCCAAGCUUCCAAAUCGGCGGGUUUUCGCCAUUUCCGUCCAAAUUUCCGACGAAUUGAGUCAAGGUACCACUACUAAUCAUCAUCUAGGCCUUCCCUCUUUACGUUUCACCCCAAGAAUCAUUGAAUUUCGUUGUGAUUUCGCGAAGAACACCCCUACGGGUGCCGCGACCCUUUUGUUUAAAUUCUCCAAAUUUUGAAAUGUUUUCUUUCAAUUACUAACACCUUUAGCAUUCCUUUAGGACCUAGAACAAAGCCCAAGAGGUAAUUGAGGCGUUGGAACAAGUUUGAAGGUCGAAAUGGAAACACCCAAAUUCUAGGGUUCUUCACGGUUUUGGUGAAAUUGAAGCACUUCCAGGCCAAAUUGGCCUUGGCCUCAGGUAUGAAAGUUGUUCUACUCAUUGAGAUCUUCAAAUCUGAAAAUUUUGGUAAUUUUUGGAAAUAGUUGAAUUUUCCGGCGAGCCGGGGGCGGCCAACCGCCACCCGCGGCGGCCCGCGCGGCGGCGCGUGGCCAAUGGCCCGCCAAUGUCAUUAUUAGCUUGUGAUUAAGGUUCUAGGUUCUGUUUUGAUAAUUGUUGGACGUAAAUUGAAUAAUUGAACCUAAGUUGGUUACGAUUCGUGGUUAGGUGAAAAUGUGAAUUGACGAUCCGACCGUUGGAUCGUCAUCAAACUUUGAUACGUUGUAAUACGUAAUAUUUGAGGAUUAUAGGAACUUACGGAUUGGGAAUCCGAUUUACGGAUCUUCUGGAAUUGAAGUUGUAAGUUCAUAAAAUAGAAUGUUAACCGUCACUUAGUUUUGGAAAUUGUCGGAGAUCCGACCGUUGGAUGGUAAUGAAAUUUUAGGAAGUUGUCCUAGAGGUAUAUUGUGGACCUCUGGAAGUUUUGGAUUUGAAAUCUGAAUUGCAGAUCAUCCGGAUCGAACUACGUAGUGACGUGUCUUACAUAAGUUAUGUAUUCUAUCGGCAGAAUUUCUGAGGUUGGAUUUGAUUGUUGUUCUAGGCGCUAAUCGUCAUGACGCCUUGAUGUACGGUGCUAGGGAGUUGUGGGCGAACUCCAGGUGAGUGGGCAGUUUUGUUUUCGUAUUACCUAUAUACUAUUGAUUUUUCCCAGAAAAUGAAUUUAUAUGAAAAUAUGCUUUAAAAAUGCCAUGCAUAGAAUUAUUUGAAAAUGUGAAUUGUUAUAUGAAUUACAUGAUUGAGAUAUGAUGCAUACAUGUUGCAUGGUGCUGUGGAGGCACAGGUAAGUCAGGUGAGUUCAUUAUUCAUUUAAUUGAAUUGAUUGAUAUCGAUAUAAUUUGAGCUCAUAACCUGCACCCUAGGUGUUAGUGCUUAUAUUAUUCACCACACCGCACGCUCGCCUUGGAUCCAAGUAGGUGGAUGUCGUACAGACCAUGUGAGGGUUCCGACAUGCUAGUCGUAUAGAUCACUAGGCGUGAUUCCGACUAGUGGGUGAUCUUAGUUAUGCGCGCUGAUGAUAUGAUGAGAGAAGCACUAGAGCGUAUUUUUACACCUUUCAUCGUAUAGACUACCUUACGUAGUUCCGAGUGAUGUGCAGAGUAGGGCCGUAUAGGUCACUGUGGUGACUCCGGCUUAGUGAGAUAUUGAGCUAUUGAAUUAAUCGUAUAGGACCAACUGCAGGGUCUCCGAUUGAUUCCUUAUUUCACC